Cajanus cajan (pigeon pea) is the source of this 188-nucleotide non-coding RNA. The record is from Rfam. NCBI's taxonomy places the organism in Eukaryota, Viridiplantae, Streptophyta, Magnoliopsida, Fabales, Fabaceae.
AAAUCCAAGUUGGAGUUCCCUUUACUCCAAUUCUAAAAGGAUAUGAUGGUAAAUCUCUGCUGCUAGUUCAUGGAUACCUAUGAUUUUGUAAUAACAUGUGUUCAAAGUCAAGGGUUUACAUGAAUUGGGAGAUGAAUUUACUCUGAUCUUUUAGUAUUGGAGUGAAGGAAGCUCCAGAGAGAUUUCUC